Molecule: ribosomal RNA, 491 nt
Filed under: uncultured bacterium
Lineage: Bacteria
Description: partial 16S ribosomal RNA
Rfam family: Bacterial small subunit ribosomal RNA
Source: RNAcentral
GAUGAACGCUAGCUCCAGGCUUAACACAUGCAAGUCGAGGGGAAACGACAUCGAAAGCUUGCUUUUGAUGGGCGUCGACCGGCGCACGGGUGAGUAACGCGUAUCCAACCUGCCCACCACUUGGGGAUAACCUUGCGAAAGUAAGACUAAUACCCAAUGACGUCUCUAGAAGACAUCUGAAAGAGAUUAAAGAUUUAUCGGUGAUGGAUGGGGAUGCGUCUGAUUAGCUUGUUGGCGGGGUAACGGCCCACCAAGGCGACGAUCAGUAGGGGUUCUGAGAGGAAGGUCCCCCACAUUGGAACUGAGACACGGUCCAAACUCCUACGGGAGGCAGCAGUGAGGAAUAUUGGUCAAUGGACGAGAGUCUGAACCAGCCAAGUAGCGUGCAGGAUGACGGCCCUAUGGGGUGUAAACUGCUUUUAUAAGGGAAUAAAGUGAGUCUCGUGAGACUUUUUGCAUGUACCUUAUGAAUAAGGACCGGCUAAUUCCGU